CCUACGGGGGGCUGCAGUGAGGAAUAUUGGUCAAUGGACGAGAGUCUGAACCAGCCAAGUAGCGUGAAGGAUGACUGCCCUAUGGGUUGUAAACUUCUUUUAUAUGGGAAUAAAAUGUUCCACGUGUGGGAUUUUGUAUGUACCAUAUGAAUAAGGAUCGGCUAACUCCGUGCCAGCAGCCGCGGUAAUACGGAGGAUCCGAGCGUUAUCCGGAUUUAUUGGGUUUAAAGGGAGCGUAGGUGGAUUGUUAAGUCAGUUGUGAAAGUUUGCGGCUCAACCGUAAAAUUGCAGUUGAAACUGGCAGUCUUGAGUACAGUAGAGGUGGGCGGAAUUCGUGGUGUAGCGGUGAAAUGCUUAGAUAUCACGAAGAACUCCGAUUGCGAAGGCAGUUCACUGGACUGCAACUGACAUUGAUGCUCGAAAGUGUGGGUAUCAAACAGGAUUAGAUACCCCAGUAGUC
Molecule: ribosomal RNA, 460 nt
Filed under: uncultured bacterium
Lineage: Bacteria
Description: partial 16S ribosomal RNA
Rfam family: Bacterial small subunit ribosomal RNA
Source: RNAcentral